Molecule: long non-coding RNA, 4535 nt
Organism: Cuculus canorus (common cuckoo)
Lineage: Eukaryota; Metazoa; Chordata; Aves; Cuculiformes; Cuculidae
Exons: 4
Source: RefSeq, a predicted model, not a curated record
GCAGGGCAGGAGAGAGCUAGGCGUGCUCUAAGCCACCUCUCUCGCCCUUCUCAGCAGGAGAAACACAUCGUUGAGAAAUAUCUUCCUUGAAACGUAUCUUCUUCCACUCCAUCUCAGUAGUGGAAAAGGGACAAGUUCGAAGGUCACAUCUUAAGCAGAUCCUUUAUUUCAAUACCUGCAAAGGUAUUUGAACAUAACAAAGCUAUGCUGCAAGUCCGUGUCCAAUUCGGAGCAUUUGGACACAGCUAAAGGAUGAUUUGCAGCAGCCUGAACUCAUUACUGUAUUCAUGCUCUCAGACUGAAUACACCUUGGUUACCUGGAUAUAACAUCUUGACUCUUUCUGUGUGGCACUUUAUUGGAUCUUGGAGGUGUAGUUUACACAGCAAAAUCUUCGUUCUUUGCUAAUUUUGUUAGAAGCUGGACCUAAAUAAUGACACAAAAAUUAGUUUCCUGCAUCUGGAUUGUUCACCCAACUGAAAAAGGACAAAACCUCUCCAUCCUUCCUGCAAACCUGGUUUAACAUCACAGACAUUUACCCAGGUUUACAAGCAAAUGUACAACUAAAAUAACGUCUUCAUAGUGAAUUACUGCUGUAGGCGUUACCUCAGCUGUACCUGCACCACGGCAUGCCAAAACGAUUACUUACGACCACCUACUGUAAUUUUUCUCUUGAAUAGCAAGUGGAUAAUGAAAGUGCCCAGCCUCCAGUAUACCUUUCGAGAUUUGACUAAGAACAGGAGUGCUUGAGAGCUGAACAAAUUUUAGGGAUGGGAUGCUUAUCCCUGCCUUCGGUUGCCCCAGGAUUCUACCUGCUAUUAUCCCAUUGUUGACUUUUCAAACAAGCACCGUUAGAUAUUUUCCAAUUGUGAUAUUUGUGUUUGGAAGGAGAAUCCCAAGUCUUCUUUGGCAGAUUCUCUUCCAACACCUCUUGAGUGGAUGGACCAUAAGUCAGGGUCUGGACGAGCGGUCUGUCCCACUGUAAGAGAGGAUCAGGUUCGUGACCACCUGAGGAACCUGAAUAUGUUCGUGAGACCUGAUGAGAUGCAUUCCAGAAUCUAUGAGGGAGUGACCACAUCAGUGGGUAAAAGAAGAGCUAUGGAUGUAAUCUAUUUGGACUGCUGCAAGGCCUUUGACACGGUCCUUCACAACAUCCUUCUCUCUGAAUUGGACAGAUAUGGAUUUGAUGGUUGGACUGUUUGGGGGAUGAUGAGUUGAUUGGAUGAUGUGUCCAGAGGGUAGUGACCAAUGGCUUGAUGUCCAGAUGGAGAUCAUUGAUGACUGAUGUCCCUCAGGAGUCUGCAGUGGGACCAGUACUGUUUAAUGUCUUCAUGAGUGACAGAGAUGGUGGGAUGGAGUACACCCUCAGCAAGUUUGCAGAGUACACCAAGCUGAGUUGUGUGCUUGACACACCUGAGGAACAAGAUGCUACCCACAGGGACAUACCCUGCCAUGCUGGACAAGCCUGAGAAGUGAGCCUAUGUGAACCUCAUGAAGUUCAAGAUGGCCAAAUGCAAGGUCUUGCACAGGCAUGGGGACAGCUACUGGUAUCAAUACAGGCUAGUCAAUGAAGUGAUUGAGAGCGGCCCUGACAAGAAGGAUUUAUCAUAAAAUCAUAGAAUUGUUUGGUUGGAAAAGACCCAUGAGAUCAUCAAGUCCAACCGUACCUGUCCACUACUAAAUCAUAUCCACGAGUACCUCAUUUACCUGUCUUUUAAAUACCUCCAGGGAUGGUGACUCAAUCACUUCCUUGGGCAGCCUGUUCUAGAUUAAAAAGUCUUUCAGUGAAGAGAUUUUUUCCUCAUAUCCAAUCUAAAUCUCCCCUCGAGUAACUUGAGGCCAGUUCACCUUGUUGUAUCAUUUGUUACUUGGGAGAAAAGACCACUACCCGCAUCACUACUGCCUCCUCUCAGGUAGGUGUGGAGAGUGAUAAAGUCUCCUCUCAGCCUCCUUUUCUGUAGGCUAAACAACACCAGUUCCCUCAGCUGCUUCUCAUAAGGUUUGGUCUUCAUCCCCUUCACCAGCUUUGUUGCCAUUCUUUGGACACGCUCCAGCACCUCAAUGUCCUUCUUGUAGUAAGCGGCCUAAAACCGAACACGGUAUUGGAGGUGUGGCCUCAGCAAUGCUGAAUACAGGGGCACAACCACUUCCCUGGAAAGUGGAAGUCCUGGUGGAUGAAAAGCUGGACAUUAGCCAGCAAUGUCCCUAGCAGCUGAGACAGUCACCUCUGCCUAGGGUUGCAUCAAAGCAAAUGUGGCCAGCAGGUCAAGGGAGGUGGUUCUGCACUUCUACUCCAUUCUGGUGAGAUCCAACCUGGAGUACUGUGUCCAGCUCAGGAGCCCUUAGCACAGGAAAGACAUGGACUUUUUGGAGUGUGACCAGUGGAGGGCUAGAAAAAUGAUCAGAGGGACAGAACACUUCUAUGAAGAAAGGCUGAGAGAGUUGGUGGUGUUCAGCCAGGGGUAGAAACAAAGAUCAUACUAGCUGAGUCAUUAUCCUUGUAACUGUCACCCAUUCCAAACUUAUAACCAUGCUUUGAGCUGAAUUUCUGCUGAAAACAUUAUCUUCUGAAACUGAGUGCUCGACAUUUUCCAGAAACUGCCUAUGUCCAAACAUUAAAACAAGUAACACAAUGUCAGUGUCAUCCGAGCAGAGCAGAAGCACUCUCACAUUGAUUUUGGCAUUAACACACAUUAUAAAUAAUCACUAUUUUUAUUUUGAGAUACCAUUCUAGGAUUGAGAUGCGUACUAUCUUAGGCCUUGUAUGGACACAGUGAAGUGGUAGAGGAAACAAGUUUACUCAGCAGAGAUUUGUGCAAGUUUACACAGGUACGUAACAUGAGACCUCAUAUGGGACUUUUAAUGAGGCAUGUGCUCUUCAUUUCAACCUUAUGCAGAUAGCUAACAAAUGAAGAAGAAAAAUCCUUUGAAAGACCUAGGAAAAGUGAGACUUGUCUCUGCUCCUAAGGCUUGUGGAAUUGCAGAAAUCAGAGUUGUAUCAAUUGCACCCAGGUGCCAUGAAUAAACUGCUUGUAUAUGCUCCAUCAUUUGUCCUUAGCCAGUAGUAUGUACUGCCCUGCUGACCUAUCGACUUCUAUCACAUCCCUGCCUUCAUUCAGGAACCAUCGGAUUCAAAGUGUGGCAAAACUAGAUUUCAUCCUCUCAACUUACUACAAUUAGGAAUUUGCUACAGAAAUUCCAUGUGUUGUGGCUGCGUGGAUGAAAGCAAUUCCACAUCGUUCCUUUUCUGAUUAGAACACUGACAAUUCUAAGAUCCAGAUUUAAUUAUGACACAUGAGAGACAUUAUAUUCAAAUAAAUUCUUAUUUGUAAAUUCUUAUUUAUAAAUUUUCUGCGUGAAACUAUAUUUUUUAAAUAUUUUAUUUAGGUAAGUGCAUUUUCUUCAGCAGCCACAAGGUGGGAGUAUUGACCUUUAAGGCUGUGUUGUGUUUUUCAUUUGCUUUUUAUUGGGUUUUGUUUGUUUGUUUUGUUUUGUUUUAUUUUGUUUUUCUUUUGUGCUAUGCCAGGCAAAGACUUUGAAAAGAAUGUUUUGUUCUCCCCUACCAAGUUCUCCACUAUGAUUUAAACGGAGAAGAGUUUCUGGAAUGUUUAGAAACCUUUCUCCCAAUAUGAAUCUAGAGGCAGAAUGUUAUCUUAAAAAUAUUUCUUGUGAUUAAGCAGUUCAUUUCCCUGAUGCAAGCUUCAGAGCAGUUCUUUCUCAGUUCUGCUCUGACCUGACACCUUUUCAGAUGAUUUCCCCUUAGCCCUUUCACUAGACUGUAAGGAUAAGUAUGGUAAAAACAGUUCAUGCUGUAUUUACAGUUCACCAUCUGCAAGUGAAAGUGUGUGGCUUACUUGAUAAAAUGACCAGCUCUGACUAAUUUUGGAAGUGAGAACUCUUGGUAAGAAAACAUUAAGAAACAGAAUAUUCCUCGGUUAAGUUUUAAUACCUAUGUGAUUGGAGGACUAAUUUCUGCCUUUAGACUUAUUUCUGAAAGGUGUGAACAAGUAGUGAUAACCUAUUUGUCAUGUGAGACAUAGUGCCUUUGAAGGUACUAGAAGAAAAUGGACCAGUCCAAAAUUAUUGAUUCUGAAUUUCUGAGCAUUGAGGAAGUUCAGAUAAGACGCUCCUUGGCCUGUACUGAAAGCAUUCAUACCUUUUGGGAAACUUUUACCUGCACAUAAGUGAUGUGACCAUACCCUUCUUACAUCUGAAACACAGCAGCACCCGAGCUGCCUUUUUUUUUCCGUUUGUUCACUUUUUCACUUUUCACUGUUAAAGAGGGAAGCAUUGGGUACGUUGUUACCUGUUAAUGGAGUUUGGAUAUGUAUACAGAUGUCUGUGAACAGCUUUGAAAAAUUGUGAAGUGUAACCAGGCAUGUGUUUAUUUUGAACCAUCUGGCGCAAAGAAGACAGGGAAUGACUUAACCAUUAAAUGCUGCAUGCAGGUAUUAAGGCAAGAGUAUUCAGACAAAACUUAAUUUCUGAUUUGGCUCAUUAGAUGAAUGUCAUAAACAAGAGUUGACUAAUACUUUUG